GUGGGGAAUUUUGGACAAUGGGCGAAAGCCUGAUCCAGCCAUGCCGCGUGCAGGAUGAAGGCCUUCGGGUUGUAAACUGCUUUUGUACGGAACGAAAAGACUCCUUCUAAUAAAGGGGGUCCAUGACGGUACCGUAAGAAUAAGCACCGGCUAACUACGUGCCAGCAGCCGCGGUAAUACGUAGGGUGCAAGCGUUAAUCGGAAUUACUGGGCGUAAAGCGUGCGCAGGCGGUUUUGUAAGACAGGCGUGAAAUCCCCGGGCUCAACCUGGGAAUUGCGCUUGUGACUGCAAGGCUGGAGUGCGGCAGAGGGGGAUGGAAUUCCGCGUGUAGCAGUGAAAUGCGUAGAUAUGCGGAGGAACACCGAUGGCGAAGGCAAUCCCCUGGGCCUGCACUGACGCUCAUGCACGAAAGCGUGGGGAGCAAACAGGAUUAGAAACCCCUGUAGUCC
This 450-nucleotide ribosomal RNA is filed under the name uncultured bacterium. RNAcentral describes it as "partial 16S ribosomal RNA". It matches the Rfam family "Bacterial small subunit ribosomal RNA", at positions 354 to 796 of the family's 1533-position model. The record is from RNAcentral.